This is a long non-coding RNA of Pogonomyrmex barbatus (red harvester ant), 573 nucleotides long. The record is from RefSeq and is a predicted model, not a curated record. Lineage: Eukaryota; Metazoa; Arthropoda; Insecta; Hymenoptera; Formicidae.
UUAUAAUUUGUCACAUAUUUGUUUCCUAAAAUCCUGAAGCCACUAGUCGCAACAGACCGGCGCAUGUGCCACCCACAUCCGUAGAAAGCCGCGUUCUAAUUCUGGACGACGAUUCCGGACGACCAUAUCGAUGUUCUCUCGGUUUCGCAUAAAUGUCGAUCCGCCGGUGACUAUGCCGACGACUAUGUGACUAUAAUGGUGGAGGGAGAUAGCCGAACGUAACACGAAUAGAUAACGGUGUCUUCGUCCCGAGGAAGGAUGGUGUGAUGUGCACGUGAAGAGCGAAUCAGUGCCGCGAAGGCUGCGAGAAGACGACGUUUGUCGAUCGACUAUCCGAUUCUUCAGGACGGUCCUGAGGAAAGCCUUCGAAAUCUUUUCUAAGAGUUGUUUCUGAGACCGUGAUCGUCUGCAGAAUUUAUCGUGACUCUCGUCGCUCUUGCUAUUAAUUAUGGAAAGUUCUUUGGAGUAAUAGAAUGUUUUCUUCGGAUGAUCUUCUUAUCGAGAAGAUUAAGUGCCGGUUGAAUAAAUCGGAAUUGAGAGCAGAUCAAUACAUACACGAAACUGAUAAAAAAA